Long non-coding RNA from Vicia villosa (hairy vetch), 2141 nucleotides. RefSeq lists it as uncharacterized. NCBI's taxonomy places the organism in Eukaryota, Viridiplantae, Streptophyta, Magnoliopsida, Fabales, Fabaceae. The record is from RefSeq and is a predicted model, not a curated record. The transcript has 4 exons.
CUUAAUUCCGUUUAGUCCGAUUCCACCGGUCCAAACACUUUGAUGCUAAUUCGCUUAAACUUUGAAAAAAUAUUCAAUUAAAAUUUAAAUUGUUACAUUAUUGAUAAUUAGAGAUGAGAUUUCAUCAUGAACACCUCCCUCGCCGGCAACGCGGUUUCCGACCAAUCCCACAACGGGGUUCCGAUCGUCACCUUCGUCUUCUCAUGCGCACCACCCUCAUCUCCGCCAUCCGGUCGAAAUCUUGUUCUAUCUCAUCUCUCGUAGAUUUCAGAGAUGGAAGAAUCCCAAAUUGUGACACAUUAUGCAUGCAAUUGCGAUGUUGAAGAAAUGCUUGGUUAAAGUAGCGAGAGAUGAAGAAGAAAAUAGGUGAGCGUUGUCAUGGAGCAAGUGAUGCACCUUCUUCAUACAUGUGAUUUACGUGUAGAAGAUGCCAACUUCAUCAAUUUUGAUAGGAAUACAAUGAACAAGCUGUUGCAAGAGUGUUGUCAAUAGCACUAGAGUGGCACUACAGCGAUGUAGCGGAGAAGCACCUGGCAGCUACAAGACAUGUAGAAGAGCAUCUUCAAUGGAAAAUCCCAUUUUGGCUACUUUGGUGUGUCCCAUUUGUACGCAUCACUUGUUUUGAACUUUACUAAAUGAGUUCCACUUAUAGCCAUAUAUCAUCACAUUUCAAUAUUUUAAUCUUAAAAAUGCGUGGGUUCCGCGUAGAGAGAGGGCUUAGUAAAGCCACUCUUCUUAAUAGGUACUCUCUUAAUUUGCUCCUCAAUGAAAAUACCAAUUUGGUACCAUCGAGGAUGCUCUUAGUGUAGCGGCCAUAGUGGUUGUUAUAGAGGUCAAGAUAGCUGAUGUUGCAUGCUCAAUAGCGCCGCAUCCCUUAAUGAGAUUGGAAGUUUAAAAAAAAUUCCUUAAAAUUUAAACAGUAGAAUUUUUAGAUCGAGUUACUUUUGGAAUUUUGCAAUUAAAAAACAUCAUAACAGCAUUUGGGCUUUUCCUCUCACUCGGCCCAUUCAUGCUAUCAUAGUCACCCUCUCGCAGAUUAGUCAUAGUUAGUUGUUGAGUUUUUAUGUAUGUAGUAAAAGUUAUAUCAUAUAAAUUUGCAUAAAAAUUGCAAAAUAGAAGCCAUUCUGCUAUCCAUAAUUGAUUACAAUGUGGACAUGGUAUUCCUGUUUUUGUGCAAUGGUUAAAGAAGAAAACUAGGGGAAUAAGCCACUGUUUACCUUUUCUUUUAUAGGCAAAUGUUAGUUGUUAUUUUGUUAGCGGGAGGAAGAAUUUGCUAUCGGUCGGGGUCGAACCCUAGAUAUCCUUCUUAAUACUUUUUCCGUGACCUUAUUUGUGUUUAUUUUUAUAUGAAUGGGUUAUUAAAUUCCUAUGAUUAGGAGUCAAAUUUGAAGUUUGCGUCUCAGUGAUGGGUUGCACAUUAGUUUUGUGUGACAUGUCUUACUAGAAUGAAAUUUUAAUGUGAGAAUGAAAGGAACAGUUAUCAAUCCUUGGAUCAAAAUAGAUAUUUUAGAUUAAAAAACUCAUUUUAAAUAACACCUGUGUCUCUCUGGUUAACCAAAAUAUUUAAUGCUUAAUUUGCUGCUGCAUCUAUCACAGAGUAAUUGUCUCUUAAUGUAAGGACAAGGCUACUUCAUUAGAAACUCUUAUUUUUCCUUCCUCCCAUAUAUAUUGUGGCUACGAGGAUUCAUAAGUACAUUAUCUUUAUAGGUGGUGGGCCUUUAGAGAACCUCUCAGUUUUGACAAUAUAUGGUGCUCUGAUAAACUGACUGCUUUUUUGUUUCCCUUGAGGAAAUUGUGAAGAAUAAAUAAGAAUCACGAGCAUGUUAAUUACUUUUUGAUGAGUAGGAAUCAAACUCAGAACCAAAGUUUACAACAGUAAAUCACACUGCGCACCAACCACUUGCGCUAGACCCGCAUAUUUCAAGAUUAUUACUACAACAGAAGCAGUCUAUUAUCAAUUUACUUUAUCCUUUGGAAAGAAUGCAUUCACACUUAGCCACAGUUUCAAAUGAUGUCUUUUUUUUUUACAGGUUAGUAUUUUAUUAUCAUCUAUUAUAGUUGUAAAUUUUGGUCUUCAAAAUAUUAUUAAUUACUUGUGCUUUUAUAUUUCAUUCAUGAAACAAAGUUAAAGCUGAUUAGCA